This 507-nucleotide small RNA is filed under the name Pan troglodytes (chimpanzee). Its description in RNAcentral is "sense intronic". Lineage: Eukaryota; Metazoa; Chordata; Mammalia; Primates; Hominidae. The record is from RNAcentral.
GAACUUUCUGCUAGCUCUCUAAAGGAAUGAAAAUAACCUUGGGUUCUCACUAAGCAUCAAUUCUGUGACUGGCUCUGUGGGGUAGAGAUGAAAAGGCUCACUCAGUUCCAGCCCCUGCAGAUCCCCCAGGACCCUGGCGGCAGCAGAUCUAUGAGCCCACAUUUCCCCCUGCUUGUGAGGAUCACACCAAGAGAGACAUUCACAUCCUGGCCUCACAAAGAAGAGAUGGCAAAGUGGAAAAAGGCUGGAGUCCCCAACCCUGAGCCCUUUACCCUGCCUCAGUCUUUUAUAAUGAGGUGUGUGUGCUUGGGCAAUGCCUCUCUCUUCUGGGACUCAGUGUACCCAUCUCUGCUGUGGGGAGGUUGGACUAGAUGAGAGUUUCCCAAACUCCAGUUGUUUCUUUCCCUCCCUCCACACCUGGAGAUCAGAACACCUGUACUAAAAAGUACUGAAAAUCUUUAUUCAAAUGAGCUCACUUUUUUUCAACCAAAAUAAACUUAUUUUAGA